RNAcentral lists this unclassified non-coding RNA (403 nucleotides) under soil metagenome. RNAcentral describes it as "partial contains 5.8S ribosomal RNA, internal transcribed spacer 2, and large subunit ribosomal RNA". The stretch from base 1 to 121 matches the Rfam family "5.8S ribosomal RNA", at positions 35 to 154 of the family's 154-position model. The record is from RNAcentral.
GAUGAAGAACGUAGCGAAAUGCGAUAAGUAAUGUGAAUUGCAGAAUUCAGUGAAUCAUCGAAUCUUUGAACGCACCUUGCGCCCUUUGGCUAUUCCGAAGGGCAUGCCUGUUUGAGUAUCAUGAACACCUCAACUCUCAUGGCUUGCCAUGAUGAGCUUGGACUUUUGGGGGUCUUGCUGGCCUGUGGUCAGCUCCUCUCAAAUGAAUUAGCCUGCCAGUGUUUGGUGGCAUCACAGGUGUGAUAACUAUCUACGCUUGUGGUUUUCCACCAGGUAACCUUCAGUGAUGAAGGUUCGCUGGGGCUCAUAAACGUCUCUCCUCAGUGAGGACAGAUCUUUGAACGUUUGAUCUCAAAUCAGGUAGGACUACCCGCUGAACUUAAGCAUAUCAAUAAGCGGAGGA